UCGGGAAUUUUGGGCAAUGGGCGCAAGCCUGAUCCAGCCAUGCCGCGUGGAUGAUGAAGGCCCUAGGGUUGUAAAAUCCUUUCGUCAGGGACGAUAAUGACGGUACCUGAAGAAGAAGCCCCGGCUAACUUCGUGCCAGCAGCCGCGGUAAUACGAAGGGGGCUAGCGUUGUUCGGAAUUACUGGGCGUAAAGCGCAUGUAGGCGGGUCGUUAAGUCGGGGGUGAAAGCCCAGAGCUCAACUCUGGAACUGCCUUCGAUACUGGCGACCUGGACCCAAGGAGAGGCGAGUGGAAUUGCGAGUGUAGAGGUGAAAUUCGUAGAUAUUCGCAGGAACACCAGUGGCGAAGGCGACUCGCUGGACUUGUGGUGACGCUGAGAUGCGAAAGCGUGGGGAGCAAACAGGAUUAGAUACCCCAGUAGUCCCUGAGCGGGCUGGCAAGGCGCAU
This 447-nucleotide ribosomal RNA is filed under the name uncultured bacterium. RNAcentral describes it as "bacterial SSU rRNA". It matches the Rfam family "Bacterial small subunit ribosomal RNA", at positions 355 to 825 of the family's 1533-position model. The record is from RNAcentral.